RNAcentral lists this ribosomal RNA (232 nucleotides) under uncultured bacterium. RNAcentral's name for it is "partial 16S ribosomal RNA". It matches the Rfam family "Bacterial small subunit ribosomal RNA", at positions 99 to 334 of the family's 1533-position model. The record is from RNAcentral.
CGGACGGGUGAGUAAUGUCUGGGAAACUGCCCGAUGGAGGGGGAUAACUACUGGAAACGGUAGCUAAUACCGCAUAACGUCGCAAGACCAAAGAGGGGGACCUUCGGGCCUCUUGCCAUCGGAUGUGCCUAGAUGGGAUUAGCUAGUAGGUGGGGUAACGGCUCACCUAGGCGACGAUCCCUAGCUGGUCUGAGAGGAUGACCAGCCACACUGGAACUGAGACACGGUCCAG